Molecule: long non-coding RNA, 1763 nt
Organism: Heterocephalus glaber (naked mole-rat)
Lineage: Eukaryota; Metazoa; Chordata; Mammalia; Rodentia; Bathyergidae
Source: Ensembl
ACCUCCCACAUGAAAUGAUCCUUUUAGAGGGAACUCAGUAUGUCUCAAUCUGCACUUCACUCAAAGCCUCUGGGUACCGGCCACUCACUGGUUCUGGCUCCAAAAUAACUCAGCAGAAACGAGUUUCCAACUAAAAAUCCCCUCGAAUGUCUCCCAGGGAAGAAAUAUAGCUCCUAUAAUUAAAGGAGGCAACGGCCGGAGGGGGAAUGCAGCCAGCAGCCAAAAAAAAAAGAGUGGUGACUGAAGAGUUGCUGGAACGAUCAAGCAAUGAAAAAGAUGCCCCACAGAAAGUGAUCUGCCUUUAUUCUACUUUGCUUAUCGAGACAGUAAAAAAGAAAGCCAAACAGGGACCUGCGCGGAAACGCACAGGUGGAAUGCCCAAGAAAGAACACAUAUACCCUAUGGGUGGAUAUGCAUGUUUAUGAGACAUCAAGGCCUCCCAACUCCAAAGUUACCAGAGCACAGGCUGUUGCAUAAUUUCAGAUGGCAUGGAGAGUCUCACUGAUGAAAUCCGAGAAGGCUCAUGUCAGACCACUGACUGCUAAAGACAUCACUACAUGAAAGAUCAGUGGUGUGAAACUUUAAAAACAUCGAUCCAAAUGAAUCAAUUAAAUCAACAUUCACCCUUCCUAAGUGUGAGGUUUAAAACUAUCAUUGUUGCUUUUUUUUUUUUUUAACCCUACAUAGAUUUCAAGAUAAAUGCUGGAAUGCUUUGAUGACUGCUUCUAUUCUUAAAACUCAGUUAAUCGACUUUGUGCUAUUUCUUCCUUUUCAACAUCUUCCACUUGGUGUACAUUCUUUACUUUGGUACAGUGCGUGACAGUUGCAAUGCUUUAAAUCUCAACCCGCCUAACAAAGCUGAUGCUUUAGGUAGGGUAGCUUUAAGCUCUGUGAAGUGUUGAUUAAAAACCCUUUCUCAGACUCAAACUGAUCUUUUUGGAGAUUAAUAGAAUAUUAGAUAAAAGGAAGACGAACAAUUCAAGAGACUCCCACUCAGUCAUUCUAUACAAGGAAGGAAGGAAAGUAUUCAAUUUUUGAAAGGGAGUACCUCCUGGCGUCUUUUAUUUUAUAUUAUUACAGUCCCCAAUAAGUAAUCAUAAAAUCACCAUCACUAUCAUCUCCCCCUUUGCCACCCAUAUUUCAAAGAUGAGAAUGUCUCACAGUUAUUUAAAGAUUUUUUUUUCCCACAGAAUCAUGGGGAAAGUUUUUGAGAAUUUUUACACUUGCUGUAAGAGUAAUCCUUCUUAAAUGAAUGAGAAGCAUAGCCACUAAGAGAAACCUAUCAGUUCACAGUAAAAACUGUGAUUUAACAAGAGGCAUCACACAUGUUUGGACUGGAGCUCCAGAUAAUCCGGAGAAAAAUGAAAAAAUAACCUAUCCUAUUAGCAGUGAUAAUAUAGUUAAUGCAAGUAGUCAUCCACACCCUCUGAAAGGAAUUAAAAAUUUUAAAGGAAGGAACAGUUAUAAAAGAAAUGUAAACAAGUUGAUUUCAGAUUGGAUACAGUACAUUAAGGACCUACAUAUAAGAGUUUGGGAGCAAUUACAUCUCACUAGACUUGCUUUAGAAAAUAUAUUUACCUAUUGAUGAUGUGCUGUUGAAAUUUCCUUGCUAAGGAGACAGUUAGGCAUUAAAAACAAAUUCCUUAAAAUGGUAGCUUUGUGAAAAGUGUGAGCCAAAUUGUGACUAAGUUGAAGUUUGGAUAUUACCUUACAGCAAUAAUAAAAGAAAUAACAAAUAAAGCUUAAAAGUUGAUGAAUGCUGU